Molecule: ribosomal RNA, 488 nt
Filed under: uncultured bacterium
Lineage: Bacteria
Description: partial 16S ribosomal RNA
Rfam family: Bacterial small subunit ribosomal RNA
Source: RNAcentral
GACGAACGCUGGCGGCGUGCUUAACACAUGCAAGUCGAACGCGCCUGUCCUCUGGGUUUCUGGGGGGUGGGUGAGUGGCGAACGGGUGAGUAACACGUGAGUAACCUGCCCCCUUCUUCGGGAUAACGGUCUGAAAGGGCUGCUAAUACCGGGUAUUCACUGGUCUCCGCAUGGGGUCUGGUGGAAAGGUUUUUUUCUGGUGGGGGAUGGGCUCGCGGCCUAUCAGCUUGUUGGUGGGGUGAUGGCCCACCAAGGCUUUGACGGGUAGCCGGCCUGAGAGGGUGACCGGUCACAUUGGGACUGAGAUACGGCCCAGACUCCUACGGGAGGCAGCAGUGGGGAAUAUUGCACAAUGGGCGCAAGCCUGAUGCAGCGACGCCGCGUGAGGGAUGGAGGCCUUCGGGUUGUGAACCUCUUUCGCCCGUGGUCAAGCCGCGACGUGGGUCGUGGUGAGGGUAGUGGGUAAAGAAGCGCCGGUUAACUACGUG